GAUGAACGCUGGCGGCGUGCCUAAUACAUGCAAGUCGAGCGAACGGACGAGAAGCUUGCUUCUCUGAUGUUAGCGGCGGACGGGUGAGUAACACGUGGAUAACCUACCUAUAAGACUGGGAUAAAUUCGGGAAACCGGAGCUAAUACCGGAUGAUAUUUUGAACCGCAUGGUUCAAAAGUGAAAGACGGUCUUGCUGUCACUUAUAGAUGGAUCCGCGCUGCAUUAGCUAGUUGGUAAGGUAACGGCUUACCAAGGCAACGAUGCAUAGCCGACCUGAGAGGGUGAUCGGCCACACUGGAACUGAGACACGGUCCAGACUCCUACGGGAGGCAGCAGUAGGGAAUCUUCCGCAAUGGGCGAAAGCCUGACGGAGCAACGCCGCGUGAGUGAUGAAGGUCUUCGGAUCGUAAAACUCUGUUAUUAGGGAAGAACAUAUGUGUAAGUAACUGUGCACAUCUUGACGGUACCUAAUCAGAAAGCCACGGCUAACUACGUG
RNAcentral lists this ribosomal RNA (497 nucleotides) under uncultured bacterium. RNAcentral describes it as "partial 16S ribosomal RNA". It matches the Rfam family "Bacterial small subunit ribosomal RNA", at positions 28 to 507 of the family's 1533-position model. The record is from RNAcentral.